Molecule: ribosomal RNA, 587 nt
Filed under: uncultured bacterium
Lineage: Bacteria
Description: partial 16S ribosomal RNA
Rfam family: Bacterial small subunit ribosomal RNA
Source: RNAcentral
UGGGGAAUUUUGGACAAUGGGCGAAAGCCUGAUCCAGCAAUGCCGCGUGUGUGAAGAAGGCCUUCGGGUUGUAAAGCACUUUUGUCCGGAAAGAAAUCCUUGGCUCUAAUACAGUCGGGGGAUGACGGUACCGGAAGAAUAAGCACCGGCUAACUACGUGCCAGCAGCCGCGGUAAUACGUAGGGUGCAAGCGUUAAUCGGAAUUACUGGGCGUAAAGCGUGCGCAGGCGGUUUGCUAAGACCGAUGUGAAAUCCCCGGGCUCAACCUGGGAACUGCAUUGGUGACUGGCAGGCUAGAGUAUGGCAGAGGGGGGUAGAAUUCCACGUGUAGCAGUGAAAUGCGUAGAGAUGUGGAGGAAUACCGAUGGCGAAGGCAGCCCCCUGGGCCAAUACUGACGCUCAUGCACGAAAGCGUGGGGGAGCAAAACAGGAUUAGAUACCCUGGUAGUCCACGCCCUAAACGAUGUCAACUAGUUGUUGGGGAUUCAUUUCCUUAGUAACGUAGCUAACGCGUGAAGUUGACCGCCUGGGGGAGUACGGUCGCAAGAUUAAAACUCAAAGGAAUUGACGGGGUCAUAGCUGUUUCC